UAAUAUUUGGUUAAAUAUUAUGUAGAUAAAAGGUCAUCCCAGUGUACUAAAACUCCGGCUAUGCACAACAUUAGGGGAAGAGCCCUACCACAGGUGUGCAUUGUACUCACCCUUACCUUUCCAACGCUUGAACUCGUGACCUCAUGGUCACAUGGCAGUAAUAAAAAUGCACAAGGGUGGCGCCAUAUGAGCAGGUGAUUGCUUUGCAAAUAUAAUAGGCUGGAUGCUAACCAGAUAACCAGAUUUUGUGCUCCUUGACUCAUUCGACAAGAUAUCUUCUACCUCCUACCGCUCACCAGCAAUAGUAUCAGGUAACUCUGUCCACCAAGGCAAGGACAAAUCAGAAGAAAUCACCUAAUUUUUUUGUCUCUGUGGGAUCAAAUCUGCUAACCAACUUCCAUCAUGUUGGAAGCUGAAAGGAAACAGCAAAGAAACCAUAACUCACCCAGCUAUGAAGACCUUCAACCUUGGUCAUUUUACCAUGUAUAGAAAUCCAAGGAUUUGUGUCAUGUAACUUUGAUUAAACCUUGUGUAGGAGAAUUUCUUCCCAUUAUCAAAGAGAAUAUUAAAGCAAUAAGGAUUUGUAUA
Long non-coding RNA from Capsicum annuum, 588 nucleotides. RefSeq lists it as uncharacterized. Lineage: Eukaryota; Viridiplantae; Streptophyta; Magnoliopsida; Solanales; Solanaceae. The transcript is spliced from 2 exons. The record is from RefSeq and is a predicted model, not a curated record.